AGAUUGAACGCUAGCGGGAUGCUUUACACAUGCAAGUCGAACGGCAGCGCGGACUUCGGUCUGGCGGCGAGUGGCGAACGGGUGAGUAAUAUAUCGGAACGUGCCCAGUAGCGGGGGGAUAACUACGCGAAAGCGUGGCUAAUACCGCAUACGCCCUACGGGAGAAAGUGGGGGAUCUUCGGACCUCACGCUAUCAGAUGAGCCUAGGUCGGAUUAGCUAGUUGGUAGGUAAAGGCCUACAAGGCUACGAUCCGUAACUGGUCUGAGAGGAUGAUCAGUCACACUGGAACUGAGACACGGUCCAGACUCCUACGGGAGCAGCAGUGGGAAUAUUGGACAAGUGGGCGAAAGCCUAGAUCCGGCCAUGCCGCGUGUGUGAAGAAGGUCGUUCGGAUUGUAAAGUCGAACUUUAAGGUUGGGAAGGUAAGGACAAGUUAAACCUAAGUAACGUUAGUUAGUUUUUGACGUUUACCGAACGAAGAAUAA
RNAcentral lists this ribosomal RNA (486 nucleotides) under uncultured soil bacterium. Its description in RNAcentral is "bacterial SSU rRNA". It matches the Rfam family "Bacterial small subunit ribosomal RNA", at positions 26 to 492 of the family's 1533-position model. The record is from RNAcentral.